UAGUGUGUUUAAUUUAAUGCAAUUAUUAGUUUCCCCCUGGAGUGGGCUGCAGCCUGGGCGCCCCCUGCCCGCGUCUGCACACUUUACCCCGGGAUUCGUUACCCUUCGGGCCGCCGCGUCCCUCUCUGUCCCUGCGGUGGUGUGGGAUGCACUGCUGCUGCUGGCCUGUGACUGUGGCCCCUCUUAUCAGUUGUUCCUGACCAUGCAGUUUGGAACCGGCUUGGUUCUUCCCAAAGUUAACUGUCAGGGACCACCAAGCUUGGAACUAUGGCGGUUCUUACAGAGUUGACUCUCAGCUGACACCCUGUCAAUAAUAUUCACUUCAACAAAGUGUCUGCUGCCUGCGCUAACGUGCCAAUUGGGAAUUCAUAACUGUGUUCCACUUCCACACAGCACACUGGAGGUUUUGAGUUAAGUAUUUUCAAAACAGACUUUCAAAAAAGACGCUUGAUUUUUGAGUGCACUGUUUAUGAACACUAAUGUCUUACAAUACCAUGCGUAGAGGAAAUAGAGGUGCUAUUCCCUGCUGCAAAAACUGGUUUAAAUUGCAGA
This is a long non-coding RNA of Micropterus dolomieu (smallmouth bass), 552 nucleotides long. RefSeq lists it as uncharacterized. The record is from RefSeq and is a predicted model, not a curated record. The transcript has 3 exons. NCBI's taxonomy places the organism in Eukaryota, Metazoa, Chordata, Actinopteri, Centrarchiformes, Centrarchidae.